AUGGCGUUCUCCGACGAGUACAAGGGCAUGGAGGCCCACGGCAACACCAAGUUGCACGUUAUCCACACCAACGACAAGAAUAAGAUGACGAUCUCCCUCGCGCAGUACGAGCGCCACCUCAGGCUCCAACGCACAAGAUCGUCGGCAUUGAUGUGCACCGUCUUCGACAACUUCCUCGCCGACCCCAGGUACACCUUCGCUGGCUUCUCCAUCGACGGCGACAAAACUAGGCUAGAGCGCGUCAACCUAGAGGUCGCCAACUUCAUCGACAUCCAGAAGGAGUGGAGGGUGCCCGAGGCAACCAAGGAGUUGGACUCCCUUGGAUACGUCUCUGGCAUGCUCAUCGACAACUACUACAACAACAUGAAGAAGAAGAUCACUGAUGAUGAACACAAGCGCUGGGCCACCCUGCCUCUGUCCAUGAGGCACAUCGAGUACGCGGCAAAGGACGCUUAUGCUGCGUACAAGAUAUGGAACCGCAUCACCCUCACGUAG
RNAcentral lists this ribosomal RNA (495 nucleotides) under Triticum aestivum (bread wheat). RNAcentral's name for it is "partial small subunit ribosomal RNA". The record is from RNAcentral. Lineage: Eukaryota; Viridiplantae; Streptophyta; Magnoliopsida; Poales; Poaceae.